GCGCGCGCGGUGACAGAAGAGAGUGAGCACACGGCCGGGCGGGACGGCACCCGCCGGAUGGUGCCGUCACGGCCGCGUGCUCACUGCUCUAUCUGUCACCAGCUGCUUCU
Molecule: microRNA precursor, 110 nt
Filed under: Aegilops tauschii
Lineage: Eukaryota; Viridiplantae; Streptophyta; Magnoliopsida; Poales; Poaceae
Description: miR156c stem-loop (ata-MIR156c)
Gene: ata-MIR156c
Rfam family: mir-156 microRNA precursor family (bases 10-99)
About the family: This family represents the plant microRNA (miRNA) precursor mir-156. Animal miRNAs are transcribed as ~70nt precursors and subsequently processed by the Dicer enzyme to give a ~22nt product.
Source: miRBase by way of RNAcentral